GAUGAACGCUAGCGGCAGGCUUAAUACAUGCAAGUCGUGGGGCAGCAUGAGUAGCAAUACUUGAUGGCGACCGGCAAACGGGUGAGGAACACGUACACAACCUUCCUUCAAGCGGGGAAUAGCCCAGAGAAAUUUGGAUUAAUACCCCAUAAUAUAUUUGAUAAGGCAUCUUAUUAAUAUUAAAGCUUUCGGCACUUGAUGAUGGGUGUGCGGCUGAUUAGAUAGUUGGCGGGUAACGGCCCACCAAGUCUACGAUCAGUAGCUGAUGUGAGAGCAUGAUCAGCCACACGGGCACUGAGACACGGGCCCGACUCCUACGGGAGGCAGCAGUAAGGAAUAUUGGACAAUGGA
RNAcentral lists this ribosomal RNA (351 nucleotides) under uncultured bacterium. RNAcentral's name for it is "bacterial SSU rRNA". It matches the Rfam family "Bacterial small subunit ribosomal RNA", at positions 28 to 375 of the family's 1533-position model. The record is from RNAcentral.